This 493-nucleotide ribosomal RNA is filed under the name uncultured bacterium. RNAcentral describes it as "partial 16S ribosomal RNA". It matches the Rfam family "Bacterial small subunit ribosomal RNA", at positions 28 to 507 of the family's 1533-position model. The record is from RNAcentral.
GACGAACGCUGGCGGCGUGCUUAACACAUGCAAGUCGAACGGUGAAGGGACCGGUUUUUGCUGGUGCUGGUUGAGGGGCGCACGGGUGUGUCACAUGGGAGUAACCUCCCCCCUUCUUCUGGAUAACCGCAUGAAAGGGUCUCUAAUACGAGAUAUUCUGCACCUGCUGCAUGGAGGGGGUGGGGAAGGUUUUGUUUCGGUGGGGGGUGGGCUCGCGGCCUAUCAGCUUGUUGGGGGGGUGAUGGCCUACCCAGGCGGUGAGGGGUAGCCGGGCUGAGGGGAUGGGCGACCACGGUGGGAAGGAGAGGCGGCGAAGACUACGACGGGCAGCAGCAGGGAGGAAUAGUGAACGAUGGGCGGAAGGCUGAUGCAGCGACGCGGCGGGAGGGAUGGAGGCCUGCGGGUUGUAAACUUCUUUCGGGAGAGAAGCAGGGCUGUCGCUUCUGUGGGUGGGUUGACGGUAGCUGGAGAAGAAGCGCCGGCUAACUACGUG